RNAcentral lists this ribosomal RNA (200 nucleotides) under uncultured bacterium. RNAcentral describes it as "partial 16S ribosomal RNA". It matches the Rfam family "Bacterial small subunit ribosomal RNA", at positions 8 to 207 of the family's 1533-position model. The record is from RNAcentral.
AGAGUUUGAUCAUGGCUCAGAUUGAACGCUGACGGCACGCUUAACACAUGCAAGUCGAGCGAUUUAGUAGCUUUCGGGCUAUUAGGUAGCGGCGGACGGGUGAGUAACGCGUAGGAAUCUGCCUUAUUGAGUGGGACAACCUGGGGAAACCUGGGCUAAUACCGCAUAAGAUUUGUUGGCGAGAGCUGAUGAAUGAAAGC